RNAcentral lists this ribosomal RNA (497 nucleotides) under uncultured bacterium. RNAcentral describes it as "partial 16S ribosomal RNA". It matches the Rfam family "Bacterial small subunit ribosomal RNA", at positions 28 to 507 of the family's 1533-position model. The record is from RNAcentral.
GAUGAACGCUGGCGGCGUGCCUAAUACAUGCAAGUCGAGCGAACGGACGAGAAGCUUGCUUCUCUGAUGUUAGCGGCGGACGGGUGAGUAACACGUGGAUAAUCUACCUAUAAGACUGGGAUAACUUCGGGACACCGGAGAUUAUACCGGAUAAUAUUUUGAAGCGCAUGGUUGAAAAGUGAAAUACGGUCUUGAUGUAACUUAUAGAUGGAUCCGCGCUGCAUUAGCUAGUUGGUAAGGUAACGGCUUAUCAAGGCAACGAUGCAUAGCCGAGCUGAGAGAGUGGUCGCCCACACUGGAGCUGAGACAGGGUCCAGACGCCUACGGGAGGCAGCAGUAGGGAAUCUUCCGCAAUGGGCGAAAGCCUGACGGAGCAACGCCGCGUGAGAGAUGAAGGUCUUCGGAUCGUAAAACUCUGUUAUUAGGGAAGAACAUAUGUGUAAGUAACUGUACACAUCGUGACGGUACCUAAUCAGAAAGCCACGGCUAACUACGUG